RNAcentral lists this microRNA precursor (101 nucleotides) under Marmota monax (woodchuck). Lineage: Eukaryota; Metazoa; Chordata; Mammalia; Rodentia; Sciuridae. The record is from RNAcentral.
AGUAGAAUUGCUGGUUCAUAUGCUAAUUCUGUUUUACUUUUUGAGGAAUUACCAAACUGUUUUCUACAAUAGCCUCAUUAUUUUACACUUGCAUUAGCAAU